Molecule: transfer RNA, 67 nt
Filed under: Analcellicampa danfengensis
Lineage: Eukaryota; Metazoa; Arthropoda; Insecta; Hymenoptera; Tenthredinidae
Description: tRNA-Cys
Source: RNAcentral
AAUUUUAUAGUUAAUGUAUUAUAACAUUAGAAUGCAAUUCUAAAAUAAUAAAAAUUUAUUAAAAUUU